GGGCAUGUGGUGUAGUUGGUUAUCACGCUCGCUUAGCACCUGCAGCGCUUGCGAGAGGGGUCCGGUUCAAUCCCGGACAUGUCCA
This 85-nucleotide transfer RNA is filed under the name Pilatotrama ljubarskyi. RNAcentral describes it as "tRNA-Ala". Lineage: Eukaryota; Fungi; Basidiomycota; Agaricomycetes; Polyporales; Polyporaceae. The record is from RNAcentral.